This 494-nucleotide ribosomal RNA is filed under the name uncultured bacterium. Its description in RNAcentral is "bacterial SSU rRNA". It matches the Rfam family "Bacterial small subunit ribosomal RNA", at positions 338 to 849 of the family's 1533-position model. The record is from RNAcentral.
CCUACGGGAGGCAGCAGUGGGGAAUAUUGGACAAUGGGCGAAAGCCUGAUCCAGCAAUGCCGCGUGAGUGAUGAAGGCCUUCGGGUCGUAAAGCUCUUUUACCAGGGAUGAUAAUGACAGUACCUGGAGAAUAAGCUCCGGCUAACUCCGUGCCAGCAGCCGCGGUAAUACGGAGGGAGCUAGCGUUGUUCGGAAUUACUGGGCGUAAAGAGUACGUAGGCGGUUAUUCAAGUCAGAGGUGAAAGCCCGGGGCUCAACCCCGGAACUGCCUUUGAAACUAGAUAACUAGAGUCUUGGAGAGGUUAGUGGAAUUCCGAGUGUAGAGGUGAAAUUCGUAGAUAUUCGGAAGAACACCAGUGGCGAAGGCGACUAACUGGACAAGUACUGACGCUGAGGUACGAAAGCGUGGGGAGCAAACAGGAUUAGAUACCCUGGUAGUCCACGCCGUAAACGAUGAUAACUAGUUGUUCGGUACUACUGUGACUGAGUGACGC